GUGAAACACUUGUUCUCAUACAAUCAGCAAAGUUAAGCAACAUUGAGCCUGAUUAGUACCUAGAUGGGUAGCUGCUUGGGAAUACUUGCUGCUGUAAG
Non-coding RNA from Acanthosepion pharaonis, 98 nucleotides. Lineage: Eukaryota; Metazoa; Mollusca; Cephalopoda; Sepiida; Sepiidae. The record is from the annotation of a GenBank genome assembly.